Molecule: ribosomal RNA, 253 nt
Filed under: uncultured bacterium
Lineage: Bacteria
Description: partial 16S ribosomal RNA
Rfam family: Bacterial small subunit ribosomal RNA
Source: RNAcentral
UACGUAGGGUGCGAGCGUUAAUCGGAAUUACUGGGCGUAAGGCGUGCGCAGGCGGUUCGCUGUGUCCUGUGUGAAAGCCCCGGGCUUAACCUGGGAAUGGCAUGGGAAACUGGCGGGCUGGAGUGUGGCAGAGGGGGGUGGAAUUCCGCGUGUAGCAGUGAAAUGCGUAGAGAUGCGGAGGAACACCGAUGGCGAAGGCAGCCCCCUGGGCUAACACUGACGCUCAGGCACGAAAGCGUGGGGAGCAAACAGG